GACGAACGCUGGCGGCGUGCUUAACACAUGCAAGUCGAACGGAAAGGCCCUGCUUUUGUGGGGUGCUCGAGUGGCGAACGGGUGAGUAACACGUGAGUAACCUGCCCUUGACUUUGGGAUAACUUCAGGAAACUGGGGCUAAUACCGGAUAGGAGCUCCUGCUGCAUGGUGGGGGUUGGAAAGUUUCGGCGGUUGGGUAUGGACUCGCGGCUUAUCAGCUUGUUGGUGGGGUAGUGGCUUACCAAGGCUUUGACGGGUAGCCGGCCUGAGAGGGUGACCGGCCACAUUGGGACUGAGAUACGGCCCAGACUCCUACGGGAGGCAGCAGUGGGGAAUAUUGCACAAUGGGCGGAAGCCUGAUGCAGCAACGCCGCGUGCGGGAUGACGGCCUUCGGGUUGUAAACCGCUUUCGCCUGUGACGAAGCGUGAGUGACGGUAAUGGGUAAAGAAGCACCGGCUAACUACGU
This 467-nucleotide ribosomal RNA is filed under the name uncultured bacterium. RNAcentral describes it as "partial 16S ribosomal RNA". It matches the Rfam family "Bacterial small subunit ribosomal RNA", at positions 28 to 506 of the family's 1533-position model. The record is from RNAcentral.